UAAUACGGAGGGUGCAAGCGUUAUCCGGAUUCACUGGGUUUAAAGGGUGCGUAGGUGGGUUGAUAAGUCAGUGGUGAAAUCCCCGAGCUUAACUUGGGAACUGCCAUUGAUACUAUUGAUCUUGAAUACCGUGGAGGUCAGCGGAAUAUGUCAUGUAGCGGUGAAAUGCUUAGAUAUGACAUAGAACACCAAUUGCGAAGGCAGCUGGCUACGCGAAUAUUGGCACUGAUGCACGAAAGCGUGGGGAUCAAACAGGAUUAGAUACCCUGGUAGUCCACGCCCUAAACUAUGGAUACUCGACAUCAGCGAUACACUGUUGGUGUCUGAGCGAAAGCAUUAAGUAUCCCACCUGGGAAGUACGAUCGCAAGAUU
Molecule: ribosomal RNA, 372 nt
Filed under: uncultured bacterium
Lineage: Bacteria
Description: bacterial SSU rRNA
Rfam family: Bacterial small subunit ribosomal RNA
Source: RNAcentral